GUUGCGGUGGCCGAGUGGUUAAACCGUUGGACUCCAAAUCUAAUGGGAUCUUCCCAUUCAUGUUCGAAUCCUGCCCGCAACG
This is a non-coding RNA of Nematostella vectensis (starlet sea anemone), 82 nucleotides long. Lineage: Eukaryota; Metazoa; Cnidaria; Anthozoa; Actiniaria; Edwardsiidae. The record is from Rfam.